CUUUAUUCUUUCAGCUUCGAUAGAUCAGUCACCCUCCAUCAGGAACAGGUGGAUUGAGUCCAAUCUUUUACUGGUCCCAGGUGAACUUGAUAAACAUAUGGUCCAUUGUGAAGGGAUCUUGUUUUGCGAUAUCUGAUUGUGUUUGUAAUGGCUUCUUCACCUAGCUAUUUGCCUAUUCCAGUGGCCAUUACAAAGAAUUAUGCUGAGUGUCAUUUUUGGUUUUUGGAGUUGACAGAAGCCAUGGCUCAAAA
Panicum virgatum (switchgrass) is the source of this 251-nucleotide long non-coding RNA. RefSeq lists it as uncharacterized. The transcript is spliced from 3 exons. The record is from RefSeq and is a predicted model, not a curated record. NCBI's taxonomy places the organism in Eukaryota, Viridiplantae, Streptophyta, Magnoliopsida, Poales, Poaceae.